Molecule: ribosomal RNA, 465 nt
Filed under: uncultured bacterium
Lineage: Bacteria
Description: partial 16S ribosomal RNA
Rfam family: Bacterial small subunit ribosomal RNA
Source: RNAcentral
GACGAACGCUGGCGGCGUGCUUAACACAUGCAAGUCGAACGGAAAGGCCCCUUUGGGGGUACUCGAGUGGCGAACGGGUGAGUAACACGUGAGUAACCUGCCCUUGACUUCGGGAUAACUUCAGGAAACUGGGGCUAAUACCGGAUAGGAAUCCUUGCUGCAUGGUGGGGGUUGGAAAGCUUCGGCGGUUUUGGAUGGACUCGCGGCUUAUCAGCUUGUUGGUGGGGUAGUGGCUUACCAAGGCUUUGACGGGUAGCCGGCCUGAGAGGGCGACCGGCCACAUUGGGACUGAGAUACGGCCCAGACUCCUACGGGAGGCAGCAGUGGGGAAUAUUGCACAAUGGGCGGAAGCCUGAUGCAGCAACGCCGCGGGCGGGAGGACGGCCUUCGGGUUGGAAACCGCGUUCAGCAGGGGCGAAGCUUGUGGUGACGGUACCUGCAGAAGAAGCACCGGCUAACUACGUG